GAUGAACGCUGGCGGCGUGCCUAAUACAUGCAAGUCGAGCGAACAGACGAGGAGCUUGCUCCUCUGACGUUAGCGGCGGACGGGUGAGUAACACGUGGAUAACCUACCUAUAAGACUGGGAUAACUUCGGGAAACCGGAGCUAAUACCGGAUAAUAUAUUGAACCGCAUGGUUCAAUAGUGAAAGACGGUUUUGCUGUCACUUAUAGAUGGAUCCGCGCCGCAUUAGCUAGUUGGUAAGGUAACGGCUUACCAAGGCAACGAUGCGUAGCCGACCUGAGAGGGUGAUCGGCCACACUGGAACUGAGACACGGUCCAGACUCCUACGGGAGGCAGCAGUAGGGAAUUUUCCGCAAUGGGCGAAAGCCUGACGGAGCAACGCCGCGUGAGUGAUGAAGGCCUUCGGAUCGUAAAACUCUGUUAUUAGGGAAGAACAAAUGUGUAAGUAACUAUGCACGUCUUGACGGUACCUAAUCAGAAAGCCACGGCUAACUACGUG
Molecule: ribosomal RNA, 497 nt
Filed under: uncultured bacterium
Lineage: Bacteria
Description: partial 16S ribosomal RNA
Rfam family: Bacterial small subunit ribosomal RNA
Source: RNAcentral